This is a long non-coding RNA of Mustela erminea (ermine), 321 nucleotides long. RefSeq lists it as uncharacterized. The transcript has 3 exons. NCBI's taxonomy places the organism in Eukaryota, Metazoa, Chordata, Mammalia, Carnivora, Mustelidae. The record is from RefSeq and is a predicted model, not a curated record.
GACACCCUUAUUUGUUUUAAUUGAAAGAGUGGAUGAGAGGGUUGUGUUUGGUUAAAGGAAUUUAGAUCAGGUUGAAUAAGCAAAUGAUCCAUUUUUUAACUGAAGGCAAAAAAGGGAAUUUAGAGCUUCGUGGUAGUUUCAAAUACUGCUGUUUGCCUUACCGGUAACAAAACCUAAUUUCUUAAGUUAUGAACUUUUUUUUUUUAAAUUAGUUCUUCCAGAAGCUCUUCACUUUGCAUACUUGAAAAAGUGAGGCCUUCAUAGAGUAAAGUCAUUUUUUCACAGAUCGCUACUAUUUUAACAUGGGAUAAGAAGCAAAGU